This 253-nucleotide ribosomal RNA is filed under the name uncultured bacterium. RNAcentral describes it as "partial 16S ribosomal RNA". It matches the Rfam family "Bacterial small subunit ribosomal RNA", at positions 524 to 776 of the family's 1533-position model. The record is from RNAcentral.
UACGUAGGGUGCAAGCGUUGUUCGGAAUCACUGGGCGUAAAGGGAGCGUAGGCGGGAUCGUAAGUUAGGAGUUUAAUACACGGGCUUAACCCGUGGCUGGCUUUUAAUACUGCGGUUCUUGAAUGUGGGAGAGGGCGAUGGAAUUCCAGGUGUAGCGGUGGAAUGCGUAGAUAUCUGGAAGAACACCAGUAGCGAAGGCGGUCGCCUGGCCUAACAUUGACGCUGAGGCUCGAAAGCUAGGGGAGCAAACAGG